RNAcentral lists this ribosomal RNA (958 nucleotides) under uncultured Glomus. Its description in RNAcentral is "eukaryotic LSU rRNA". The stretch from base 1 to 456 matches the Rfam family "Eukaryotic small subunit ribosomal RNA", at positions 1357 to 1831 of the family's 1831-position model. Lineage: Eukaryota; Fungi; Glomeromycota; Glomeromycetes; Glomerales; Glomeraceae. The record is from RNAcentral.
AGCUAGGUCUAACAUUGUUAGGUCGUCAGCUUCUUAGAGGGACUAUCGGUGUCUAACCGAUGGAAGUUUGAGGCAAUAACAGGUCUGUGAUGCCCUUAGAUGUUCUGGGCCGCACGCGCGCUACACCGAUGAAGUCAACGAGUUCUUUUCCUAUGCCGGAAGGCACGGGUAAUCUUUUGAAACUUCAUCGUGAUGGGGAUAGAGCAUUGCAAUUACUGCUCUUCAACGAGGAAUCCCUAGUAAGCACAAGUCAUCAGCUUGUGCUGAUUACGUCCCUGCCCUUUGUACACACCGCCCGUCGCUACUACCGAUUGAAUGGCUUAGUGAGGCCUUCGGAUCGUUAGUUAAAAACUGUAAAAGGUUUUUUUCUGAUGAGAAGUUGGUCAAACUUGGUCAUUUAGAGGAAGUAAAAGUCGUAACAAGGUUUCCGUAGGUGAACCUGCGGAAGGAUCAUUACAAAUCAUGGCGAACCUCGCGUUUCGCGAGGUCUUGCGUCCAUUUUCGUAUUUAAAACAUCCCACUCUUUAAAAAAAUAUUUAUCUAAUGAUAAAAAUAAAAUGAUCACUUUCAACAACGGAUCUCUUGGCUCUCGCAUCGAUGAAGAACGUAGCGAAGUGCGAUAUGUAAUGUGAAUUGCAGAAUUCCGUGAAUCAUCGAAUUUUUGAACGCAAAUUGCACUCUCUUCGGAGAGUAUGCCUGUUUGAGGGUCAGUCUAUAAAAAAUCGACAUCGUUGCUGUUUCGCGGUGACGUUCGUCGGAAAUUGGGUCAUCUUAAAUCUUUUGGUUUAAGCGACUUAAAAUUUUCUUUCGGUUCCGUGAACGUUUCUAAGAUUUAUUUCUUUACACGUUUAAGGUAUCGAUUUUUAUUAGACGUGGCCGUCAAAUCGGGUCGCGUCCAUAAUUUUUCAUUAACUGACCUCAGACAGGUAAGAGUACCCGCUGAACUUAAGCAUAUCAA